This is a small nuclear RNA of Heterocephalus glaber (naked mole-rat), 173 nucleotides long. Its record names the gene U2. It matches the Rfam family "U2 spliceosomal RNA". Rfam says of the family: U2 is a small nuclear RNA (snRNA) component of the spliceosome (involved in pre-mRNA splicing). NCBI's taxonomy places the organism in Eukaryota, Metazoa, Chordata, Mammalia, Rodentia, Bathyergidae. The record is from Ensembl.
AUCACUUCUUGGCCUUUUGGCUAAGAUCAAGUGUAGAAAUAACUGAAAAUCCAGUACAACUACCUAAAGAAUAGAUCAUAUAAUUUUAAAAAGCAUAAAGGCUAUUUAUUUUAUGUUUCAUCUUUUUUUAAACUGCAGUUUCAUGGACUUAAAAUUUUCUAAGAUGACACAGG